Molecule: ribosomal RNA, 377 nt
Filed under: uncultured bacterium
Lineage: Bacteria
Description: bacterial SSU rRNA
Rfam family: Bacterial small subunit ribosomal RNA
Source: RNAcentral
UAAUACGUAGGUGGCAAGCGUUGUCCGGAUUUAUUGGGCGUAAAGCGCGCGCAGGCGGUUCGUUAAGUUCGAGGUGAAAUCUCCCGGCUCAACUGGGAGGGGUCUUCGGAUACUGGCGGACUUGAGGAGAGCAGAGGUGAGUGGAAUUCUCGGUGUAGUGGUGAAAUGCGUAGAUAUCGAGAGGAACACCAGCGGCGAAGGCGGCUCACUGGGCUCCACCUGACGCUGAGGCGCGAAAGCGUGGGGAGCGAACCGGAUUAGAUACCCGGGUAGUCCACGCCGUAAACGAUGGGCACUAGGUGUGAGGGGUAUUGACCCCCUUCGUGCCGAAGCUAACGCGAUAAGUGCCCCGCCUGGGGAGUACGGCCGCAAGGCUA